RNAcentral lists this ribosomal RNA (311 nucleotides) under uncultured Pseudomonadota bacterium. Its description in RNAcentral is "bacterial SSU rRNA". It matches the Rfam family "Bacterial small subunit ribosomal RNA", at positions 29 to 351 of the family's 1533-position model. Lineage: Bacteria; Pseudomonadati; Pseudomonadota. The record is from RNAcentral.
AACGAACGCUGGCGGCAGGCUUAACACAUGCAAGUCGAGCGCGGUCCUUCGGGACUGAGCGGCGGACGGGUGAGUAACGCGUGGGAACGUGCCCUCUUCUUCGGAAUAGCCCUGGGAAACUGGGAGUAAUGCCGGAUACGCCCUCUCGUAGCGAUACGGGUGGGGAAAGAUUUAUCGGAGGAGGAUCGGCCCGCGUUGGAUUAGGUAGUUGGUGGGGUAACGACCUACCAAGCCGACGAUCCAUAGCUGGUUUGAGAGGAUGAUCAGCCACACUGGGACUGAGACACGGCCCAGACUCCUACGGGAGGCAG